GACAGAGGCCACAAGCGUUAGGCGGAAUCACUGGGCUUAAAGCGUGUGUAGGCGGACCGUUAAGUGCUUUGUGAAAUCCCCCGGCUCAACCGGGGAACUGCUUGGCAUACUGGCGGUCUUGAGCUGCCUAGGGGCGACUGGAACAAACGGUGGAGCGGUGAAAUGCGUAGAUAUCGUUUGGAACGCCAAUGGUGAAAACAGGUCGCUGGGGGCAAGCUGACGCUGAGACACGAAAGCCAGGGGAGCAAACGGG
RNAcentral lists this ribosomal RNA (253 nucleotides) under uncultured bacterium. RNAcentral's name for it is "partial 16S ribosomal RNA". It matches the Rfam family "Bacterial small subunit ribosomal RNA", at positions 524 to 776 of the family's 1533-position model. The record is from RNAcentral.